AGUGAACGCUGGCGGUAGGCCUAACACAUGCAAGUCGAACGGCAGCACAGUAAGAGCUUGCUCUUACGGGUGGCGAGUGGCGGACGGGUGAGGAAUACAUCGGAAUCUACUUUUUCGUGGGGGAUAACGUAGGGAAACUUACGCUAAUACCGCAUACGACCUACGGGUGAAAGCAGGGGAUCUUCGGACCUUGCGCGAUUGAAUGAGCCGAUGUCGGUUUAGCUAGUUGGCGGGGUAAAGGCCCACCAAGGCGACGAUCCGUAGCUGGUCUGAGAGGAUGAUCAGCCACACUGGAACUGAGACACGGUCCAGACUCCUACGGGAGGCAGCAGUGGGGAAUAUUGGACAAUGGGCGCAAGCCUGACCCAGCCAUACCGCGUGGGUGAAGAAGGCCUUCGGGUUGUAAAGCCCUUUUGUUGGGAAAGAAAAGCAGCAGGUUAAUACCCCGCUGUUCUGACGGUACCCAAAGAAUAAGCACCGGCUAACUUCGUG
Molecule: ribosomal RNA, 492 nt
Filed under: uncultured bacterium
Lineage: Bacteria
Description: partial 16S ribosomal RNA
Rfam family: Bacterial small subunit ribosomal RNA
Source: RNAcentral